This is a non-coding RNA of Nelumbo nucifera (sacred lotus), 1159 nucleotides long. NCBI's taxonomy places the organism in Eukaryota, Viridiplantae, Streptophyta, Magnoliopsida, Proteales, Nelumbonaceae. The record is from RefSeq and is a predicted model, not a curated record.
CCAAAACCACUCAUAUUUGGGGAAUGCUUAUCCCUUUCUUUUGUGUUUCCACACGAGAGAGCGAGAGAGAGAGAGAGAGAGAGAGAGAGCCCGCUGUCUUGUUCUUGUAGGUUUUGCCAAUGUUGACACCUUCCCAAUCCAAGGACUGCAGUUGCGAUCGUAAAAUAUUUUCCCUUCAUUAAUUUUUGAGUAACAGAAGAAGAAAUUCAAUUAAAUAUCUCGAUCAGAAAAAAUCGGCGCCGUCCCCUUUUAGGCAAGGGAAGAUAACGACGAUACAAAGGGGAAGGAAUCAACCGAGCCUUUGGCACGAAGGAAGGAUCAGUCCUGGACAUUUUGUUCACUGUCGACACCAUUAUCGUGCAAUGGGUUUUUGGUUUUGGACAAGCAAAACCCGAUAGGCUGUCCACCGUCCAAAAGGACGGUCCAAAACCAAAACGUCGAGUGAGUGGUCUUGAAUCGAACCACAAAAACGAUCAAACAGACAAACACAGUCAGGAUCAAACGAAAGAUGCUGUUUGGCUCCUCUCAGCAUUUCUUUUCAGCGCAUACGAAAGGGAAGGCGAUGGAGCUAGCUGCAUGCGUUGCGCGCCGCUCUUUGAGGACAUGCACGCACAGUGUUUGUGAAAAGUGUCAAUUGGGUUGCUAUAGACUGAGUUCACUCAGUUGAUGGAGUUGACUUUCGCUCCUUCUACAAAAGACGAAGGGGUCCUCUUCACGGUGGAUGCUAAAGCCACCUCAUCGAAAAUUACAAAAAUUUUCAGAAACCAGGAGACCUUUCAUUUUUUUUUGUUUUUUUACCUUCUGUGUUGAUGGGCUCCACCCAGCCUGGUCAUUUGAAUGGGUAUCACCAAUUUUGCACGAGAAUCCAGUUAUUCUUGUGCAAAAAUUCAGCAGAAGGCGAUGCAUCAGAAAUUAGCUGCAUUUGAUUAUUCUCAUGUCAGCCAUGGUUGUCCAAUCUCUUUGCAUGCAUGGAUGGCUGACGUGGGUGGGACAUUAUAAAUCUAACAGUUCCUGACAUAAACAGUGCAGCUAAUCUGGAAUUGAUUCAACCUGAGGAAUUAGUUAGCUAUAAUUAACAAAUUUGACGGUGGAGGAAUAUGCUCUUUUAUGAUUUUAAGUAUAAGAAUAGAAUACAAUAAAAUGGAGUUUUAUAUUACAC